RNAcentral lists this non-coding RNA (276 nucleotides) under Blautia sp. Its description in RNAcentral is "T-box sequence". It matches the Rfam family "T-box leader". From Rfam's summary of the family: Uncharged tRNA acts as the effector for transcription antitermination of genes in the T-box leader family. T-boxes are found upstream of many aminoacyl-tRNA synthetase genes and some amino acid biosynthetic genes usually in Gram-positive bacteria. The anticodon of a specific tRNA base pairs to a specifier sequence within the T-box motif, and the NCCA acceptor tail of the tRNA base pairs to a conserved bulge in the T-box antiterminator hairpin. The record is from RNAcentral. Lineage: Bacteria; Bacillati; Bacillota; Clostridia; Lachnospirales; Lachnospiraceae.
UAAAAUGCAGUGACAGGGAGGAGUACCUGGCGGCGCAAAGCAAAGAGAGGAGAUGGCUGGUGAGAAUCUCCGUGAGCGUGCCUGCGGAAGUAGCCCUCGAGCAGUGGACUGAACAGAAAAAGCGGACAGCAAUGUUUUCCAAGUAGGCUCCAACGUAGUUCCCACGUUACCGGGAUGCCGUAUCGGAUGAAAAAAGUUAAAUCCUGUACGGAAUGAGCAGAAGUGUAUUCUUCUGGAAUUCAGGUGGUACCGUGGAUGGAAACAUUCUCCCUGAAC